GACGGUCUUGCUGUCACUUAUAGAUGGAUCCGCGCUGCAUUAGCUAGUUGGUAAGGUAACGGCUUACCAAGGCAACGAUGCAUAGCCGACCUGAGAGGGUGAUCGGCCACACUGGAACUGAGACACGGUCCAGACUCCUACGGGAGGCAGCAGUAGGGAAUCUUCCGCAAUGGGCGAAAGCCUGACGGAGCAACGCCGCGUGAGUGAUGAAGGUCUUCGGAUCGUAAAACUCUGUUAUUAGGGAAGAACAUAUGUGUAAGUAACUGUGCACAUCUUGACGGUACCUAAUCAGAAAGCCACGGCUAACUACGUGCCAGCAGCCGCGGUAAUACGUAGGUGGCAAGCGUUAUCCGGAAUUAUUGGGCGUAAAGCGCGCGUAGGCGGUUUUUUAAGUCUGAUGUGAAAGCCCACGGCUCAACCGUGGAGGGUCAUUGGAAACUGGAAAACUUGAGUGCAGAAGAGGAAAGUGGAAUUCCAUGUGUAGCGGUGAAAUGCGCAGAGAUAUGGAGGAACACCAGUGGCGAAGGCGACUUUCUGGUCUGUAACUGACGCUGAUGUGC
Molecule: ribosomal RNA, 560 nt
Filed under: Staphylococcus aureus
Lineage: Bacteria; Bacillati; Bacillota; Bacilli; Caryophanales; Staphylococcaceae
Description: bacterial SSU rRNA
Rfam family: Bacterial small subunit ribosomal RNA
Source: RNAcentral